UUUCCUAUUUUCCUCAUUUUUUCAUUCAUAGCCCCUUCUUUCCUUUCUCCCUUCUCUACGCGAACGAACGCCCCAAAGCUUCUGCCACUUCUCUCCGAUUUCAAACCUUCACUAGACCUCGAAGCCUGAUCCUCUCGUAACCCAUCUCCUCGCUCCACGCCGUCGCUCUCGCCGUGGCCCGUGCCCAUCGCCAUCCUCGCAAAUCUCCUUCCUCACCGUCAGCCAUGCACCAGCCUCUCGGAUCUCCUUUCUACCUGAAGCUCCCCUCUUCCUUCAAAGCUCUCUCUCUUCAUUCUUUCUCUAAAAAACUCCUCUGCGAGUGAAACUAUAGGUCCUUCAACUUUCAUUCUUUCUUCACCCUCUGAUCUCCAAAUGAAAACCAAAGACCUAGCUCUACUACCCAGCCAAACCUCCUAAGUCUCGUACUCCCUCUUGUUCUCUUUCUUCCCAGUUCAAUGAAACCGAGAGCCUUACCAAUCUUGAUCGUGGCGAGGCAAGAUGGGAGAUCAGAGCUCUCCUUGGGCUCGAAAGGUUCGAAACCUCAGGGGUGAAGACUUGCCUAACCACACAGAUAAGUCACUUUUCCUCUUCUUCUAUUUCUCGACUUCUUUGUUUUUUUCUGUUUUCUCUUUCAAGAUUUGAUUAGUGUGUGGAACUCGUGCGUGAUUCAUGAGUGUUGUUGUUCUAAUCUGUUGUGAUAAGUCUAGUUGAUGACGAUUCUGGUUCUAGAGCUUUGGUCGCAGGUCUCAAGUUGAAAACGAGUCAACUCGUUUUCAACUCAGUGGGUCAAGGUAAGAGUUGACUCGUAUGAGUCAACUCGUUUGUGUGGGUGGACUCGGACAAGUCUGAGUGAGUCACACGCCUAUAAGCGCGUGUGGGUGAGUCAUGUGUGGGCUGAGGGAGUUGGGAUCUAUUUGGGCCUCAUUAGUUUUUUUAUAGGCUUUGGGUAAUUUUAAAAAUGGGCCUGGCUCGGGGUUAAUUUUAAAAUGGGAUGUGGGUGAUUUUUAAAAUGGGCCGACCCGGUUUGAUUCUUAAAACAGAAUGGCCUAGGGGCAAGUUAUCAAGUGGGCUUAAGGGUCAGUCGGGCUUCUAGUCAAUCCUCUAAGUCAUGGUUUUAAAAGAGAGUUGGGCUGGGUUAAAAUGAAAUUGGCCAGGGUAUUUUGCAAGUUUAGGCUCGAUUUUUAGUUAGAGAUCCGGGCUUGGUUUUUAGUUAGAAAGUUGGGCUUGGGGUUUAAUUAAAAACAAUAGGGCUUUGGGUUGGAGCUGGGGAUCGGGUUUUAAGGGUUCGUUUUAGGGUCCAUGGGAUCCGAGUUUCAAUUUGGGUACGGGUUGUGGACUUGGUUCGGAUCAAAGAAUCCAAAUCCUGGUUCGAGUUUGAGAGAACUGGGGGUUGAUUUGAUUCAGAAACAACUCAGGUUCAGGACUGAACCUGAUACUCAUACGGGGGCACUGCAUUCUCAUACACAUAUAUCCAAUAAUGAUCUUAAGGAUUGAACGAAACAAAGGGGGGACUAAAUGCUUUUACCUCCCCUUAUUAUCUGCUCCUGUCUUUGUUCCCAAUUUUUCCAUGUGUGUCUGAGUGAUUAUUCUAGUGGUGGUGAGCUUAUGAGUUUUUGAAUUCCUACUUCAGGUUCUUGAGGCUGCCCUUUGAAUUGCCUUCGGACCCCAAAGAGGUCCUCCUAUAUUUUUCUCUGAUUCUACUCUCUUCCCUAGCUCCUUUCUACUCUUCUACAAUUUGGCAGAGUUUCUCCCCCCUUUCCUUCUUCAAACUGGUAGAACCUCCCCUCUCUUUCUAAUUUCUUUCCCUCUUAAUUCUUGCAGGAUUUCCAUCCAUGAUCUCUGAGGGGUGUCUGUCUACAGUGCGAGCCUCCCUAUUUAUAUUUAUAGGGAGGCUUUGGGGGUAUUUGGCGCCAAUUUCUUCUUCUGCUAACCAAUUUCCCCACCAACAAACUUGGCGACGAUUAAUUCCUUUCCCUCCGCACACAUGGUUUAAGGGGGAUACUUCAUCAGCUUUGCCAGAUGGUAAUCGUGGAUUGGAGGGCUUGUAUUUUUUAUUUCCUGUAUUUUUUCUUUUGGAUGUGGAUGUACCGCCGUAUUUAUUACCCUGCAUCCAUUCUUUGUACCCUUUGUAUUUCCCUGCACUCGGCACUUUAUUUCCCUCUAAUUUGGUACUGUAUGCAUGUGUCCUAUUUUGGAUUUUUAUUAUUAUUAUUAUUAUUCCUUUUUUUAAGUGUUCUAUUGUAAAAUCCCUGCACAUGCAUCCCCCUAUAUGUACCUGCACAAUACUUGCAUGUGCUCCUCCCUCUUUAAUAAAACAUGUGAUGUAUGCUUUCCAAUUUU
Long non-coding RNA from Malania oleifera, 2340 nucleotides. RefSeq lists it as uncharacterized. The record is from RefSeq and is a predicted model, not a curated record. The transcript has 2 exons. Lineage: Eukaryota; Viridiplantae; Streptophyta; Magnoliopsida; Santalales; Ximeniaceae.